RNAcentral lists this long non-coding RNA (283 nucleotides) under Gossypium raimondii (Peruvian cotton). RNAcentral describes it as "long non-coding RNA (GRAI_LNC007212)". Lineage: Eukaryota; Viridiplantae; Streptophyta; Magnoliopsida; Malvales; Malvaceae. The record is from RNAcentral.
GUGGAGUAAAUUUAGAUAAUAAAUGGGUUUUGGGUAUUUGUUAGUCUCCGUUUAGCUUAGGUUUGUGUCUUUUGUUAGCUGAUUGAUUGUAUUGGAGAUCCAACUUUUGUUUUGAAGGGUUUUUUUUUUUUUUUUAAACAAACGUAGCUAAGGAAGUUUAAACUUAAAUUAACACUUCACUCGAGGUUGAUCAAACAGUUUAAUAUCAUUAUUAUUGUUACAAGUUAUUUUGGCUAGGUAGUCUACAAUUUUAUUAUCUUCUCUUGAAAUAUGUUGGACGUGC